This 167-nucleotide unclassified non-coding RNA is filed under the name soil metagenome. Its description in RNAcentral is "partial internal transcribed spacer 1". The record is from RNAcentral.
GUGAAUUAAACAUGCUUGGUGUCUUCGCUUCGGCAUGGCCCUUGCUUAAAUCACAUCCUAACACCUGUGAACUGUAAGACGUAUGAUGAGGUCUUUGGCCAAGUCAUCGUCUGCCCAUUUUUAACAAACAAUUAAUGUAACAAACGUAGUCUUAUUAUAACCUAAUA